UGGGGAAUAUUGCACAAUGGGGGAAACCCUGAUGCAGCGACGCCGCGUGAACGAAGAAGGUAUUCGUAUCGUAAAGUUCUGUCCUAUGGGAAGAUAAUGACAGUACCAUAGAAGAAAGCUCCGGCUAAAUACGUGCCAGCAGCCGCGGUAAUACGUAUGGAGCGAGCGUUGUCCGGAAUUAUUGGGCGUAAAGGGUACGCAGGCGGUUUAAUAAGUCGAAUGUUAAAGAUCGGGGCUCAACACCGGAAAGCAUUGGAAACUGAUAAACUUGAGUAGUGGAGAGGAAAGUGGAAUUACUAGUGUAGUGGGGAAAUACGUAGAUAUUAGGAGGAAUAACAGUAGCGAAGGCGACUUGCUGGACACAAACUGACGCUGAGGUACGAAAGCGUGGGGAGCAAGCAGG
This 403-nucleotide ribosomal RNA is filed under the name bacterium. RNAcentral describes it as "partial 16S ribosomal RNA". It matches the Rfam family "Bacterial small subunit ribosomal RNA", at positions 355 to 776 of the family's 1533-position model. The record is from RNAcentral.